Long non-coding RNA from Alexandromys fortis (reed vole), 1398 nucleotides. RefSeq lists it as uncharacterized. Lineage: Eukaryota; Metazoa; Chordata; Mammalia; Rodentia; Cricetidae. The transcript has 3 exons. The record is from RefSeq and is a predicted model, not a curated record.
CUCAGACUCGAUAGCUCUGCUCUCUGGAGCAGACGUGGUGAAGCUCCGACCCAGGAUGGACGUAGGCUAGAAUCUUCCUACUGUGGGAUUAUAUUUAUCCCACUCAAGAAGCAGAAAAGAGAGAGGAAGAACAGAGAAUGGUAACUCGAGCUAUAUGCUAGAUGCUCCAGGAUCAAAGGAGAAAGUAACCAAUCAGAAGAACUUUUAUUACCACCAAAGGAAGAAAGAUAAAUGAGCCAAUGAGGUUUCCAUCAGGAGGGUUAUUGAUGUGUUGGAAUAUGAAUCUCCCCAAAGCAGUGACUCCCUACUGGAAACUCACAGCAAGGAAGUUCAGUGACAUUUGAAGUCUCCUCCCUGCCCACUCUCCAGAGAAAAGUCAGGAUACCCUCUGCGUAUUUGUCUCCAGGGAGGUUCAGCAAAUGCUCUGGAUUCAAGAACAAACUUAUUCCGUGGUCAAAGAGCCUGGCUUCAAGUAAUGCUGUUUUUCUUCUCUAUUUGUUAACAUACAAAUCAUAAUGCUGCUUUAAAAAAGAUUUCUUGUUUGCAUUUUGAGGCGACAGUGAGCAAAUUCAGGAAAUUAUCAGACACAAGGAAAUUUUCGUCAUCUAAUGAAUGACAUCUCAUCUCUAUUGUGUUAUUAUGACUUCAGUUUUGGGUCUUAUAAGUGAGAUGAGCGAACACUUACUUGUCCCAUGACAGAACAGCAGCAAAGAUGUUUGUCUUCAUCUCUUUUGUUUUGUAACACCUACUGCUAAGUCAGUACAGUCUAGAGGUAUGGACAGCUAGAACAGCAAGGAUAUUUGAAACAUGGAAGAGUUGAAAGCAAAUUUUGAGGGCUGAACUAUAUUAUUGUUACACUACUAUUACAACGCCAAAAUCUUUGUAAGUGUACACUGUGGGUUCCACUGUAUUAUUGUUACACUGCUAUUAUCAAUGCCACCAUCUUUAUAGGUAUGAACUGUGGGUUCCAGCUCCCACUCACUGUUCAGUUUCGUCCCUCGAGAACUUCUGUCCCAUUGGUUCACUUCCCACAGUACUUUGCUCUUUGCAAAGCUCAGAUUUCAUUUUCAGUACCAUUAUCUUUUCAAACUGUCUUCUGUAGCCAAACACACAGGACUGUGAAGAUUAAGAAUUCUGUAGCUUGAGUUUGUUCAGAAUUUUAUUACUAUAAUAUCUUAUGUGGCAAGUGGCAUCUCCAUUAAAAAUAUCAAUUAACUCAGACACAGAAAGGCUGAAUAUAAUUUUUUUGAUUAAGCCUGAGCCUGUCUCGACCUAAAUCUUAAUAUUGAAAUUUGUAAUUACCAUUCUAAUUUAAUCAUUGUGAAUGGACUAUAAAUCAUGCAUGUUAAAAUUGGUGCCACUAAUGCCAUUUCUCUUUUGCUUUGUAAGCUCAUUUAU